This 545-nucleotide ribosomal RNA is filed under the name Anaplasma phagocytophilum. Its description in RNAcentral is "bacterial SSU rRNA". It matches the Rfam family "Bacterial small subunit ribosomal RNA", at positions 65 to 637 of the family's 1533-position model. Lineage: Bacteria; Pseudomonadati; Pseudomonadota; Alphaproteobacteria; Rickettsiales; Anaplasmataceae. The record is from RNAcentral.
AACGGAUUAUUCUUUAUAGCUUGCUACGAAGGUAAUUAGUGGCGGACGGGUGAGUAAUGCAUAGGAAUCUACCUAGUAGUAUGGGAUAGCCACUAGAAAUGGUGGGUAAUACUGUAUAAUCCCUGCGGGGGAAAGAUUUAUCGCUAUUAGAUGAGCCUAUGUUAGAUUAGCUAGUUGGUAGGGUAAUGGCCUACCAAGGCAGUGAUCUAUAGCUGGUCUGAGAGGAUGAUCAGCCACACUGGAGCUGAGAUACGGUCCAGACUCCUACGGGAGGCAGCAGUGGGGAAUAUUGGACAAUGGGCGCAAGCCUGAUCCAGCUAUGCCGCGUGAGUGAGGAAGGCCUUAGGGUUGUAAAACUCUUUCAGUAGGGAAGAUAAUGACGGUACCUACAGAAGAAGUCCCGGCAAACUCCGUGCCAGCAGCCGCGGUAAUACGGAGGGGGCAAGCGUUGUUCGGAAUUAUUGGGCGUAAAGGGCAUGUAGGCGGUUUGGUAAGUUAAAGGUGAAAUACCAGGGCUUAACCCUGGAGCUGCUUUUAAUACUGCC